RNAcentral lists this transfer RNA (78 nucleotides) under Brucella intermedia 229E. RNAcentral describes it as "Ochrobactrum intermedium 229E tRNA". It matches the Rfam family "tRNA". From Rfam's summary of the family: Transfer RNA (tRNA) molecules are approximately 80 nucleotides in length. Their secondary structure includes four short double-helical elements and three loops (D, anti-codon, and T loops). Further hydrogen bonds mediate the characteristic L-shaped molecular structure. tRNAs have two regions of fundamental functional importance: the anti-codon, which is responsible for specific mRNA codon recognition, and the 3' end, to which the tRNAs corresponding amino acid is attached (by aminoacyl-tRNA synthetases). tRNAs cope with the degeneracy of the genetic code in two manners: having more than one tRNA (with a specific anti-codon) for a particular amino acid; and 'wobble' base-pairing, i.e. permitting non-standard base-pairing at the 3rd anti-codon position. Lineage: Bacteria; Pseudomonadati; Pseudomonadota; Alphaproteobacteria; Hyphomicrobiales; Brucellaceae. The record is from Rfam by way of RNAcentral.
GCGGGUGUAGCUCAGGGGGGGUAGAGCACAACCUUGCCAAGGUUGGGGGGGUCGAGGGUUCGAAUCCCUUCGCCCGCU